Molecule: ribosomal RNA, 488 nt
Filed under: uncultured bacterium
Lineage: Bacteria
Description: partial 16S ribosomal RNA
Rfam family: Bacterial small subunit ribosomal RNA
Source: RNAcentral
AUUGAACGCUGGCGGCAUGCUUUACACAUGCAAGUCGAACGGCAGCACAGGGAGCUUGCUCCUGGGUGGCGAGUGGCGAACGGGUGAGUAAUGUAUCAGAACGUGCCUGGUAGUGGGGGAUAACUACUCGAAAGAGUGGCUAAUACCGCAUGAGAUCUUUGGAUGAAAGCGGGGGACCUUCGGGCCUCGUGCUACUGGAGCGGCCGAUAUCAGAUUAGGUUGUUGGUGGGGUAAAGGCCUACCAAGCCUGCGAUCUGUAGCUGGUCUGAGAGGACGACCAGCCACACUGGGACUGAGACACGGCCCAGACUCCUACGGGAGGCAGCAGUGGGGAAUUUUGGACAAUGGGCGCAAGCCUGAUCCAGCAAUGCCGCGUGCAGGACGAAGGCCUUCGGGUUGUAAACUGCUUUUGUACAGAACGAAAAGUCUCUGGCUAAUAUCUAGAGAUCAUGACGGUACUGUAAGAAUAAGCACCGGCUAACUACGUG